AGAGAUUUGAUCGCGCAACAAAAAUCUCGAGCAUGAAACCUCACGGUCUUGAGAGCCAAGGAACUCGAAGCCUCAGAAAACAAGCCAGGCAACAAAGCACAGAACCAACCUCGAAGCAAAAGGAUUCGUAAAGGAUAGCGUAUGAAUCAAAAACAAGAUGACAAGCACAAAUAGUUAAUAACAUUAAGACAACUAAGGUUAAACAGCCAUCAUUUACACCAAAAGUUCACAACCAACAAAUAUUACAGACAUCAAAUGUUUCAUGAUCCUAAACUUCUAGCAAUCAAAUGUUUCAUUUCCAGCCUCGAGCGUUAUGCCUCGUGUUGCCCAAAGCCC
RNAcentral lists this long non-coding RNA (336 nucleotides) under Setaria viridis. RNAcentral describes it as "long non-coding RNA (SVIR_LNC005800)". The record is from RNAcentral. Lineage: Eukaryota; Viridiplantae; Streptophyta; Magnoliopsida; Poales; Poaceae.